UGACAUGUUCCCAAUCAAGGAUUUGGCAGCAAUAGGAUAUUCAAUACACAAAGCAUUAUAAUCAACAUCAGGGACAACAAGUUCUCUCAGAGUUCUUUGGUCAGCCAUGUUAAACUUAAUAGACCCAAUCAAGGAUUUGGCAGCAAUAGGAUAUUCAAUACACAAAGCAUUAUAAUCAACAUCAGGGACAACAAGUUCUCUCAGAGUUCUUUGGUCAGCCAUGUUAAACUUAAUAGAAAAGAAAAAAAAAAUCAACAAAUAAUUUGAAAACACAACUAACUCAGCAAUGCAACAACAAAUAGCAAAAUACUGACAAUGUCCCUAUUAAGUAAAAACAAUUGAAAUACG
RNAcentral lists this long non-coding RNA (348 nucleotides) under Lathyrus oleraceus (garden pea). RNAcentral describes it as "Pisum sativum (pea) long non-coding RNA (PSAT_LNC012986)". Lineage: Eukaryota; Viridiplantae; Streptophyta; Magnoliopsida; Fabales; Fabaceae. The record is from RNAcentral.